ACGGCGGGGCGGGUCUUGCUCGGCAUUGGCUGUGGGUCACCUGAGCGCGGCGGCGGUCUGCGCGCCUCUCCCGGAGGAGCGUGUCCCGGAAGUGGGCGUCCCGGCCAGAGCGCAUCUGGCCCGGGGCAUCCUUGGGGCUCCUAGCUGUUAGCGCCACACGAGCUUGCGGGGGUCUAGGAAGCCAGCGCUCGGCGGCUGGGAAUGACCCGUCCCGUGGGUCCCAGGCACCCUAGCGGCAUCCGAGCGCGGAGCGGAGGGCUGCGGACCGCAGGAUCAACUAUGGUGCCUCAAAGAGCAGUGUUUCAUUGUUUUCCAUGGCGAAUAUUCCAUUUUGUACAUGGACCACUCCUUCUUUUUCCACUCAUCUGGUGAUGGACAUUUUGGUUACUUCCAUGUCUUGGUUACUGUGAAAAUUCCUGUAGUGCAGCUGUUGAAGCCUGUGCCUUCUCGACUCUGGACUUCUCAGGCUCAUCUGUGGUGCCUCAAAGAGCAGUAAUUCAUUGUUCUCCAUGGUGAAUAUUCCAUUGUGUACAUGUACCUCUCCUUCUUUAUCCAUUCACCUGUUGAUGGACAUUUGGGUUGCUUCACCAUCUUGGCUAUUGUGAAUAAGGCCGCAGUGCAACUGAUACAGCCUGUGUCUUCCCGAUUCUGGACUUCUCAGGUGAGAGGCCUAGCGGU
Long non-coding RNA from Mesoplodon densirostris (Blainville's beaked whale), 678 nucleotides. RefSeq lists it as uncharacterized. The record is from RefSeq and is a predicted model, not a curated record. The transcript is spliced from 3 exons. NCBI's taxonomy places the organism in Eukaryota, Metazoa, Chordata, Mammalia, Artiodactyla, Ziphiidae.